GUUCAGAUGCUCAGUAACAAACUCCACCAAUGAGCCAACAGGGAAGCUUUAGGUUUAUUAAAUGUUGCUAUGAAGGUUUCACUGUUUUUCUUUGUGAAUGCAAUGAGCUCCAACUGAAAGUUGAAUUAGAACUUAGAAGUAAAUCCUUCCAUCUGAAAGGAUUUAGUUGCAUUAAUAACCUCAUAACAUUCUAAUUUUUAUUCCAGUCUUGGUUGGAAAUAGAAUCUCUGUAUUGAUUCAGGUAAAAACUGAACUUCACAGCAUGUUGGAGCAAAACAACCAGAUGAAAACUGUGAUGGUGUUGGAUUGUCAGACUGUAAUGUUGCAGCUCAAAGCAGCUUUUCUAUCUCAGUUCAUUCUGACAUUCAGCUAUGAAUCAACACAGCAGAUGGUGAUCCAUGCUGUGGAAGUCUCACAUCUCCUGAUUUAAUGGAGCUGCUUUGCACUUUUUACACUGUUUAUUCACCAACACUUUAUUUAAUAAAAGUCCCAUCUAGUUUUUAUGAGGAAUGUGAUGUUUUAAUUUCUCUGUGAAUAACUGCAGUCUAAUGGAACAGCUGAAACUGUAACAUCUGUCCUGAUAUUGAUCAUGAAGUAUUGAUCAGAAUACUUAUGGUCAGCAGUCAUCCCUGAAGUUUUACAUUCAAAUCAUUACUUGUGUUGUGAACUUUGGUAAGAAGCAGAAACUUUAGCGUUGCCAUGGAUACAUGAGUGUUAAAUUCUGUCCAUGUUUCCAUUUUGGGAAAUUCAGUCCAGCAGAUCAGUUUGUUUUUACUGCCAGCUACAUUCAGUCUGAGAUAUUAAGAAUAAAUAAAUGUGCAUAAUGUGGAAAUGAACAGAUUCUAUUUUUAUUUAUUCCUACAGAUGCUGCAGGUAAAGUUAUAGAAUGUGGAGGAAUUUAGUCUCACAAUCACAGACAAUAAAUAUUAUCUGAAAGUCGGAUUAUUGUUGUUUAUCAGCACAAUACAAAAAGAUUCAUGUUAGAAAUAUUCCAGUUAAGACUCUAGAAUAUCAGGAUUUAUGUAAAUUUACCUCAAUAAUAUGAAUGUUCAGGUUGUGCAGUGAUAUUUAUUAUGUGAGUUUAGCUGAUUAAAGUUUAUUAUUUAAAUUGACAUCAUUAUUAUAAUAUUUAAGGUCAGACUCUACAGUAUUGAGAUUAAGAAAUCAAAUAUUCUAUAAAAUGUAAAUACACUGAACUCAUUUGGAGAUAUUUAAGUGAGACUCUACAAUAUUAUUUAUGACACAAAUCUAUCUAAAUCAACAUUUUAAUCAUUUUUACUCCAAACAUUUACUGGACUGAUUUGAAUAUUAAAAUCACUCCUUUCUAAUCCUCUGCUGUACGUUCAAACCUGAGGCCUUAAAUAGAAACACACAAGUAUCUGAUUGAAGGAACUUCUGCAGAGUCCUGGUUCCACAACAUGAUGAUAGAAUUAUAGACAAACUUCAACAAAAGCUGCCUGAGAGUUUACAGCUUUUUAUGUUGGAUUUCUUCAGUAAUUUAAUGAGAGUUAUCAGCAAAAAUCAAGUGUUCAUUUGAUGAACUUCAUUUCUUAAAACAUCCAGAAUUGGAGCUCAUAUCUUUGGCAGCUGUAAAGUUUCUGCUCCUUCAAAGUUCACAACACAAUAAAUGAAUUCCUAAAACACUCUCAAUGCUGGAGAGCUUUUGAUGCUGAAGCAGUGACCAGUUUUUCUGUUUCUUCUCUGGAGAUGCACAAUGAGGGACGUCUGCAGAGACUGAGAAAGAGUCUCACCACAUCCUGACAUGAGGAAAAAGACUUUAUUGAAGACUACAAUGAGAAAAACUAUCAGACAGCAGACGGCUGCAUUCAAGAGAGGAAGACCAUCAAACAUCCACGUCAGCUGAUGGAGGUCCAAGAGUCUCACCCAACAAACAACCUACAGAGUGAAGACCUCCAAUCUGAUUGGACGGCCUCCUAUUCAGCCACAUUUUAAGCUGUUAGAUUGUUCCAGAUAAGACAAGUACAAGAUUCUUCAGAGCCGUUCUACCACGAGCCUGACGGGAAGAACUCCAACAUCUACUGAAUGUUCCUGUGGUUCCCUCAAGGCUACAGGAGGAGUCCUACGAGGACGAGCUGGUCCACCUGAUGGUGGCCAGUCGCUGCGGUUCAAAGCCAACACCGACUACGUGGACUUCUACUGGACCACACGGAGGCCUUCAAACCGGACCAACAAGUUCAGCGACUCCCCGACUCGUGGGUCUGAGGACGCCGCCGAGCCUCGGUCCAGCCGGCCUCCUGUCUGUGGGUGUUUGAGUGCUGAGAGGUUUGUGGAUGCAUGUGAACGUUCUGUGUUGAAACAGCAGCUUUGGACUCAGUAACGCCGGGAAAAACCAAGAGCUCCUUUAUUUGUGACUUCCGCUAAAAAACUGAUGAAAAUAAGUUUGCCAGGGUUCUGACUGAUAACAGAUUAUUAAAUAAUGAAAAUAAUCCUUUAAAUAUUCCUUUAAACAAUCCUUUUAGGUCUAC
Molecule: long non-coding RNA, 2486 nt
Organism: Amphiprion ocellaris (clown anemonefish)
Lineage: Eukaryota; Metazoa; Chordata; Actinopteri; Pomacentridae
Source: Ensembl